This is a long non-coding RNA of Oncorhynchus keta (chum salmon), 290 nucleotides long. RefSeq lists it as uncharacterized. The transcript is spliced from 3 exons. The record is from RefSeq and is a predicted model, not a curated record. Lineage: Eukaryota; Metazoa; Chordata; Actinopteri; Salmoniformes; Salmonidae.
CCUCCUGUGGCAGGGAAGGAGAGAGGGAAGGAGGGAGAAGAGAGGGAGAUGGGGAGAGAGAGAGGGAGAUGGGGAGAGAGAGAGGUAAGGAGGGAGAUGGGGAGAGAGAGAGGUAAGGAGGGAGAUGGGGAGAGAGAGAGGUAAGGAGGGAGAUGGGGAGAGAGAGAGGUAAGGAGGGAGAUGGGGAGAGAGAGAGGUAAGGAGGGAGAUGGGGAGAGAGAGAGGUAAGGAGGGAGAUGGGGAGAGAGAGAGGUAAGGAGGGAGAUGGGGAGAGAGAGAGGUAAGGAGGG